RNAcentral lists this transfer-messenger RNA (350 nucleotides) under Bacilli. RNAcentral's name for it is "UBA6448 sp015059305 Standard tmRNA". It matches the Rfam family "transfer-messenger RNA". From Rfam's summary of the family: Bacterial tmRNA, also known as 10Sa RNA or SsrA, is named for its dual tRNA and mRNA-like properties. Its role is to liberate the mRNA from a stalled ribosome. To accomplish this part of the tmRNA is used as a reading frame that ends in a translation stop signal. The record is from RNAcentral. RNAcentral also lists the same sequence under 1 other name. Lineage: Bacteria; Bacillati; Bacillota.
GGGGUAGUUUGGUUUCGACAUGUAUUACUAGAUAUGAUUGCAAGUAGUUGGCAAACUUUAAAUGCACAAAAAAAUAAAUAACGAAACUUCAUAUAGUUUCGCUCCACAAUUUGCUUAAUUAAGUAAAGGAGCACUUCUAUCUUUUUCCCUUGUAGAAAAGACUAGGGGUUCAUAUAUGCAAGGUAUAAAUUUAUUAUUGUUUAAGUAAUAAAUUCGAAUGCUUAUUAAACUUACUAUUUAAUAGGUACGUAUAUAGCCAGUUAAAUAGGAAAUUACAAAUAGUACUAAACUUGUAGAUAUUGUAUUAUAGGAUAUAUUGGACAGGAGUUCGACUCUCCUCUACUCCACCA